GAGAUAUCUGAAGAGAUUAUAGGAUCACCCAUCCCAGAACCUCGACAACGUUCAAGACUCUUAAGAUCUCAAUCAGAAAGUUCUGAUGAAGUUACAGAAUUGGACCUUUCACAUGGGAAAAAAGAUGCUUUUGUUUUGGAGAUUGAUGACACAGAUGCUAUGGAAGAUGUACAUUCUCUCCUUACUGAUGUUCCUCCUCCUUCAGGCUUUUAUAGUUGUAAUACAGAAAUUAUGCCUGGCAUAAAUAAUUGGACAUCUGAAAUACAGAUGUUCACAUCAGUAAGAGUAAUCCGAUUAAGCAGUCUUAACCUGACUAAUCAAGCCCUCAAUAAGAACUUUAAUGAUCUCUGUGAAAAUUUGCUGAAG
Long non-coding RNA from Myotis lucifugus (little brown bat), 366 nucleotides. RefSeq lists it as uncharacterized. The record is from RefSeq and is a predicted model, not a curated record. NCBI's taxonomy places the organism in Eukaryota, Metazoa, Chordata, Mammalia, Chiroptera, Vespertilionidae. The transcript is spliced from 4 exons.